RNAcentral lists this ribosomal RNA (497 nucleotides) under uncultured bacterium. Its description in RNAcentral is "partial 16S ribosomal RNA". It matches the Rfam family "Bacterial small subunit ribosomal RNA", at positions 28 to 507 of the family's 1533-position model. The record is from RNAcentral.
GACGAACGCUGGCGGCGUGCCUAAUACAUGCAAGUCGAGCGCUGAAGGUUGGUACUUGUACCGACUGGAUGAGCAGCGAACGGGUGAGUAACGCGUGGGGAAUCUGCCUUUGAGCGGGGGACAACAUUUGGAAACGAAUGCUAAUACCGCAUAAAAACUUUAAACACAAGUUGUAAGUUUGAAAGAUGCAAUUGCAUCACUCAAAGAUGAUCCCGCGUUGUAUUAGCUAGUUGGUGAGGUAAAGGCUCACCAAGGCGAUGAUACAUAGCCGACCUGAGAGGGUGAACGACCACAUUGGGACUGAGGCACGGCCCAAACUCCCACGGGGGGCCGCAGUAGGGAAUCUUCGGAAAUGGAGGAAAGUCUGACCGAGCACAGCCGGGGGAGUGGAGAAGGUUUUCGGAUCGGAAAACUCUGUUGGUAGAGGAGGAAGUUGGUGAGGGUAGAAAGCUCAUCAAGUGACGGUACCCACAGAGAAAGCAACGGCUAACUACGUG